This 253-nucleotide ribosomal RNA is filed under the name uncultured bacterium. RNAcentral's name for it is "partial 16S ribosomal RNA". It matches the Rfam family "Bacterial small subunit ribosomal RNA", at positions 524 to 776 of the family's 1533-position model. The record is from RNAcentral.
UACGGAGGUGGCAAGCGUUGCUCGGAAUCACUGGGCGUAAAGGGUGCGUAGGCGGGUCUUUAAGUCAGGGGUGAAAUCCUGGAGCUCAACUCCAGAACUGCCUUUGAUACUGAAGAUCUUGAGUUCGGGAGAGGUGAGUGGGACUGCGAGUGUAGAGGUGAAAUUCGUAGAUAUUCGCAAGAACACCAGUGGCGAAGGCGGCUCACUGGCCCGAUACUGACGCUGAGGCACGAAAGCGUGGGGAGCAAACAGG